GUGGAAAGCUAGCGACAAAAGGUAAAAUAGAUGCUAAAAGGCAACACGAUGACAGUGAUAAUUCUGAUGAUAGCCUUGCAGUUGAUAGAAAGGGCAAUGAUAAACACAAGAGAGCUAAGAAAUAUUCGUCGGGUGAUGAUUCUGAUCUAGAGAAGGGAGUAAAAUCAAGUGGUGGAGCUCGUGAAAAAGGAAAAGGGAACUUUAAUCAUGCAGAUGGUUUGGACAAGUUUAAGAAAGAUUCCAUCAAUGAGUUCAGCCAUGCACAUACAGAUACAAUGAAAAGCAAGAGAAAGUUUGAUGAAGGUGGUGAAAAUGAGCAGCAGCUAGAGGCAAAGCCUAUAAAUCGCAAUUCUACAAGAGAGUCAGAUUUCCAUGGCAACCCCAAGAAAGAUUUCAAAAAUGAUUCUGAAUCAAUCCGAAGAGCACACAGUGGCUGGUAUGAUGAAACAAGGGAUCGGCGGUACAGGGAAGAUCCCAAAAUUGACUCUGAAUCAAACUCUAGAUCACACUAUAGUGCACGUGAUGAGGGUGACGACAGAAAGUCAACUCGAACAGGAAGCAGAUAUAAUGAAGAAACAGAGCAUGGAAGUAGACAUCACCGCAAGGCUAACGAGUCUCAUCAUCGCAGCAGGACUGAUCAAGAUACUGACGAGGAAAAAAGGCAUAGCAGAUAUGAGGAGCCUAGAGGGAGAAAACACGAAAGAGACGAAGGUCUAAAAUCGAGCAGGGAAGUUGAAAGAGGGGAGUAUCAACCAAGUAGCAGGCAGAGAUCUGAGAAAGAUUAUGAAACUAGAGAAUCUACAAGAGAUCGGGAUGAUUCCAGAAAGAGGGCCAGAUAUGAUUCUCGAUCAAGCAGACGUGAUA
RNAcentral lists this unclassified non-coding RNA (864 nucleotides) under Hevea brasiliensis (rubber tree). Lineage: Eukaryota; Viridiplantae; Streptophyta; Magnoliopsida; Malpighiales; Euphorbiaceae. The record is from RNAcentral.